CGAUUAAACGCGUUGUAACGUUUAUGUGGCCCAGCUCGUACGCCGCAGCAUUCCUCUCAUUCCCGCAUUAAUUCUGUUUUCCUCCAUCUGUUCGCGCCCAUGUCAGCCGUCAGAGCUCAUCAAACCAUUAGGCCUUCGUAUACGUAAUCUGCACUGCUCUCGAAGCUUUCCGAUCGCGGUGGAGGGGGUGUACGCGGCGGGCGGCACGUUCGCGGAAAAAAGCUCAGCGGCGGCGGCGCUCUUGAAAAUUCAAGCCGCGCGAAGAGAGGAAGGGGAAGAGAUUCCUGGAGGAGCCGGCGCCUCCUGACGAGGGGCGUGAGCGCGUGACGGCUAGCAGCUCCAGUCUUCGACGAGCCGCAGCGUCAAGCGAUCGCAGAACUCUUUUUCCGAUAGCUCUCUCAGUUCUAACACGGCCGAUUAGCCGCCUGUUGUUACGCUCCGCCAGUCGACGAGCCAAAGCUCCGGAAAUGACGGGCACAGCAGCACAGAAGCGAAGGAGUUCGCUGAAAAUUCCCAUCCAGAGCCACGAGUCGAAGAACAUCCUGACGACGUACUUCAUCCUGCUCUUGCUACUCAUCUCGCUGUACCUGCUCUACUCGGGGAUCUACUAAAUGGAAAAAUAUCGUAAUCAUGGGUUGACGCACGUAACACAGGAGGGUAAGAGCGUGCAUGCCAGAGAUAGGAAAAAGCUCUCCCCGAGACCGUGAUAACAUCCCACGUUCCAGUGUCCAUCAGUCCAUGGAAAAUAACAAGAGCGACGUCGUUCACCAAGUGCAAUAAUUAAGUUAGCGUAUAAGUUUCAAUAAAAAGAAAACGUUAAAUCCAAAUAGCAGGCUGCGAGUUUGAAAACGUUAUUAAAAGCGCGGGACAAAUAUCAUCGAACUCAAUCAGUGUCCAAUGAAUUCCGAUCGAGUCUGCGUAUGCGAUCGUUAUUCGAAUUGGACUAAAUCCGUGUGUGCGCGGCGCAACCGAUUAUUUUCACUGUGGCGUUCGACUUAAUACGUCUUGACCUUGUGACAAUUCCGCUCCAGCUUCUUGUUUCUUUCUUUUAAUUUUAUGAUCAAACAAAUCAAACUUCUUAGCUUGGAUCAAAAAUUUGAAACGAUAAAAAGCGUAUACUAACCCGUACAUCCCGUUCUCUUGAGAACGCGCGCCUAUUUUUAAAUAUCAGAAAGAAAGAAGAAGCUCUUGGCAUGCAUAAGCAAAAAAAAAAAAAAUCCGAAAGCGAGAGAGAGAACCCUACAGUUUAAGAUCGUAAAAGCGAGCGUUCCCUCUCGCGCGCACAUAACGUCUUGUGUCGUGCGUCAAAAGUAAUCCAUUUCCCCGCUCGAUAUCCGAGUCAAGGAGAAACAGAGAUAGAGAGAGAGAGAGAGAGAGAGAGAGAGAGAGAGAGAGAGAGAGAGAGAGAGAGAGAGAAAACA
Long non-coding RNA from Nasonia vitripennis (jewel wasp), 1421 nucleotides. RefSeq lists it as uncharacterized. Lineage: Eukaryota; Metazoa; Arthropoda; Insecta; Hymenoptera; Pteromalidae. The record is from RefSeq and is a predicted model, not a curated record. The transcript has 3 exons.